RNAcentral lists this ribosomal RNA (406 nucleotides) under uncultured bacterium. RNAcentral's name for it is "bacterial SSU rRNA". It matches the Rfam family "Bacterial small subunit ribosomal RNA", at positions 917 to 1322 of the family's 1533-position model. The record is from RNAcentral.
GGACCCGCACAAGCGGUGGAGCAUGUGGUUUAAUUCGAUGCAACGCGAAGAACCUUACCUGGUCUUGACAUCCUGCGAACUUUCUAGAAAUAGAUUGGUGCCUUCGGGAACGCAGUGACAGGUGCUGCAUGGCUGUCGUCAGCUCGUGUCGUGAGAUGUUGGGUUAAGUCCCGUAACGAGCGCAACCCCUAUCCUUAUUUGCCAGCACAUCAUGGUGGGAACUAUAAGGAGACUGCCGGUGAUAAACCGGAGGAAGGCGGGGACGACGUCAAAUCAUCAUGCCCCUUAUGUCUUGGGCUUCACGCAUGCUACAAUGGCCGGUACAGAGGGCUGCAAUACCGCAAGGUGGAGCGAAUCCCAAAAAGCCGGUCUCAGUUCGGAUUGAGGUCUGCAACUCGACCUCAUG